UACAGAGGUCUCAAACGUUGUUCGGAUUCAUUGGGCGUAAAGGGUGCGUAGGCGGCGCGGUAAGUCGGGUGUGAAAUCUUGGAGCUUAACUCCGAAACUGCAUUCGAUACUGCCGUGCUUGAGGACUGGAGAGGAGACUGGAAUUUACGGUGUAGCGGUGAAAUGCGUAGAUAUCGUAAGGAAGACCAGUGGCGAAGGCGGGUCUCUGGACAGUUCCUGACGCUGAGGCACGAAGGUCAGGGGAGCAAACGGG
RNAcentral lists this ribosomal RNA (253 nucleotides) under uncultured bacterium. RNAcentral's name for it is "partial 16S ribosomal RNA". It matches the Rfam family "Bacterial small subunit ribosomal RNA", at positions 524 to 776 of the family's 1533-position model. The record is from RNAcentral.